Molecule: ribosomal RNA, 168 nt
Filed under: uncultured Thermoanaerobacter sp.
Lineage: Bacteria; Bacillati; Bacillota; Clostridia; Thermoanaerobacterales; Thermoanaerobacteraceae
Also listed under: 1 other name
Description: partial 16S ribosomal RNA
Rfam family: Bacterial small subunit ribosomal RNA
Source: RNAcentral
CCUACGGGAGGCAGCAGUGGGGAAUAUUGGACAAUGGGCGAAAGCCUGAUCCAGCAAUGCCGCGUGAGUGAUGAAGGCCUUAGGGUUGUAAAGCUCUUUUACCCGGGAUGAUAAUGACAGUACCGGGAGAAUAAGCCCCGGCUAACUCCGUGCCAGCAGCCGCGGUAA